AGAGUUUGAUCCUGGCUCAGGAUGAACGCUAGCGGCAGGCUUAAUACAUGCAAGUCGAACGGGAUUCGGGGUAGCAAUACUUUGAUGAGAGUGGCGCACGGGUGCGUAACGCGUAUGCAACCUACCUUUAACAGGGGAAUAGCCCCGAGAAAUCGGGAUUAAUACUCCGUAACAUUGCGGUGUGGCAUCACACUGCACUUAAAGCUGAGGCGGUUAAAGAUGGGCAUGCGUGACAUUAGCUAGUUGGUGAGGUAACGGCUCACCAAGGCAACGAUGUCUAGGGGUCCUGAGAGGGUUAUCCCCCACACUGGUACUGAGACACGGACCAGACUCCUACGGGAGGCAGCAGUAAGGAAUAUUGGUCAAUGGGCGCAAGCCUGAACCAGCCAUGCCGCGUGCAGGAAGACGGCCCUAUGGGUUGUAAACUGCUUUUGUCAGGGAAUAAACCCCCGCUCGUGAGCGGGGCUGAAGGUACCUGAAGAAUAAGCAUCGGCUAACUCCGUGCCAGCAGCCGCGGUAAUACGGAGGAUGCAAGCGUUAUCCGGAUUCAUUGGGUUUAAAGGGUGCGCAGGCGGAUUGGUAAGUCAGGGGUGAAAUCCCACAGCUCAACUGUGGAACUGCCUUUGAUACUGUCAGUCUAGAGUAUAGUUGAAGUUGGCGGAAUGUGUCAUGUAGGCGGUGAAAUGCUUAAUAUGACACAGAACACCGAUCGCGAAGGCAGGCU
This 724-nucleotide ribosomal RNA is filed under the name uncultured Lentimicrobium sp. RNAcentral describes it as "bacterial SSU rRNA". It matches the Rfam family "Bacterial small subunit ribosomal RNA", at positions 8 to 727 of the family's 1533-position model. The record is from RNAcentral. Lineage: Bacteria; Pseudomonadati; Bacteroidota; Bacteroidia; Bacteroidales; Lentimicrobiaceae.